CCUACGGGUGGCAGCAGUGAGGAAUAUUGGUCAAUGGACGAGAGUCUGAACCAGCCAAGUAGCGUGAAGGAUGACUGCCCUAUGGGUUGUAAACUUCUUUUAUAUGGGAAUAAAACGUUCCACGUGUGGGAUUUUGUAUGUACCAUAUGAAUAAGGAUCGGCUAACUCCGUGCCAGCAGCCGCGGUAAUACGGAGGAUCCGAGCGUUAUCCGGAUUUAUUGGGUUUAAAGGGAACGUAGGUGGAUUGUUAAGUAAGUUGUGAAAGUUUGCGGCUCAACCGUAAAAUUGCAGUUGAAACUGGCAGUCUUGAGUACAGUAGCGGUGGGCGGAAUUCGUGGUGUAGCGGUGAAAUGCUUAGAUAUCACGAAGAACUCCGAUUGCGAAGGCAGUUCACUGGACUGCAACUGACACUGAGGCUCGAAAGUGUGGGUAUCAAACAGGAUUAGAUACCCCAGUAGUC
This 460-nucleotide ribosomal RNA is filed under the name uncultured bacterium. Its description in RNAcentral is "partial 16S ribosomal RNA". It matches the Rfam family "Bacterial small subunit ribosomal RNA", at positions 338 to 795 of the family's 1533-position model. The record is from RNAcentral.